RNAcentral lists this ribosomal RNA (354 nucleotides) under uncultured bacterium. RNAcentral's name for it is "partial 16S ribosomal RNA". It matches the Rfam family "Bacterial small subunit ribosomal RNA", at positions 338 to 709 of the family's 1533-position model. The record is from RNAcentral.
CCUACGGGUGGCAGCAGUGGGGAAUAUUGCACAAUGGGGGAAACCCUGAUGCAGCGACGCCGCGUGAGUGAAGAAGUAAUUCGUUAUGUAAAGCUCUAUCAGCAGGGAAGAAAAUGACGGUACCUGAGUAAGAAGCCCCUGCUAACUACGUGCCAGCAGCCGCGGUAAUACGUAGGGGGCAAGCGUUAUCCGGAUUUACUGGGGGUAAAGGGAGCGUAGACGGCAGUGCAAGUCUGGAGUGAAAGGCGGGGGCUCAACCCCCGGACUGCUCUGGAAACUGUACGGCUGGAGUGCAGGAGAGAUAAGUGGAAUUCCUAGUGUAGCGGUGAAAUGCGUAGAUAUUAGGAGGAACAC